RNAcentral lists this ribosomal RNA (250 nucleotides) under uncultured bacterium. RNAcentral describes it as "partial 16S ribosomal RNA". It matches the Rfam family "Bacterial small subunit ribosomal RNA", at positions 523 to 770 of the family's 1533-position model. The record is from RNAcentral.
AUACGGAAGGUGCAAGCGUUAAUCGGAAUCACUGGGCGUAAAGCGCUCGUAGGUGGCUUUUGUAAGUCAGGUGUGAAAGCCCACGGGCUCAACCGUGGAAUUGCACUUGAUACUGCAUUGCUUGAGUUCGGGAGAGGGUAGUGGAAUUCCAGGUGUAGGAGUGAAAUCCGUAGAGAUCUGGAGGAACACCAGUGGCGAAGGCGACUACCUGGACCGAUACUGACACUGAGGAGCGAAAGCGUGGGGAGGC